This 1351-nucleotide ribosomal RNA is filed under the name uncultured bacterium. Its description in RNAcentral is "bacterial SSU rRNA". It matches the Rfam family "Bacterial small subunit ribosomal RNA", at positions 41 to 1378 of the family's 1533-position model. The record is from RNAcentral.
GACAGGCUUAACACAUGCAAGUCGAGGGGCAGCGGUGGUGAAGGCUUGCCUUUACCAGCCGGCGACCGGCGCACGGGUGAGUAACACGUAUGCAACCUGCCUGCCACAGCCGGAUAAUCGGGAGAAAUUCCGUCUAAUACGGCAUAAUGCACCUAUGGGACAUCCUGUUGGUGCCAAAGGUUGAUUCCGGUGGCGGAUGGGCAUGCGUCGCAUUAGUUAGUUGGCGGUGUAACGGACCACCAAGACGACGAUGCGUAGGGGUUCUGAGAGGAAGGUCCCCCACACUGGUACUGAGACACGGACCAGACUCCUACGGGAGGCAGCAGUGAGGAAUAUUGGUCAAUGGGCGGGAGCCUGAACCAGCCAAGUCGCGUGAGGGAUGACGGCCCUAUGGGUUGUAAACCUCUUUUGCCGGGGAGCAAAGUGCCGCACGUGUGCGGUUUGGAGAGUACCCGGAGAAAAAGCAUCGGCUAACUCCGUGCCAGCAGCCGCGGUAAUACGGAGGAUGCGAGCGUUAUCCGGAUUUAUUGGGUUUAAAGGGUGCGUAGGCGGACGCUUAAGUCAGCGGUAAAAUUGCGGGGCUCAACCUCGUCGAGCCGUUGAAACUGGGUGCCUUGAGUGGGCGAGAAGUACGCGGAAUGCGUGGUGUAGCGGUGAAAUGCAUAGAUAUCACGCAGAACUCCGAUUGCGAAGGCAGCGUACCGGCGCCCAACUGACGCUGAAGCACGAAGGCGUGGGUAUCGAACAGGAUUAGAUACCCUGGUAGUCCACGCAGUAAACGAUGAAUGCUAGUUGUCCGGGGCGAUUGAGUUCUGGGUGACACAGCGAAAGCGUUAAGCAUUCCACCUGGGGAGUACGCCGGCAACGGUGAAACUCAAAGGAAUUGACGGGGGCCCGCACAAGCGGAGGAACAUGUGGUUUAAUUCGAUGAUACGCGAGGAACCUUACCCGGGCUCAAACGCAGGAGGGAUGUUUUUGAAAGGAGGCAGCCAGCAAUGGUCUCCUGCGAGGUGCUGCAUGGUUGUCGUCAGCUCGUGCCGUGAGGUGUCGGCUUAAGUGCCAUAACGAGCGCAACCCCUACCUACAGUUGCCAUCGCGUGAUGGCGGGCACUCUGUGGGGACUGCCUGCGCAAGCAGUGAGGAAGGCGGGGAUGACGUCAAAUCAGCACGGCCCUUACGUCCGGGGCGACACACGUGUUACAAUGGCAGGUACAGCGGGAAGCCACCCGGCGACGGGGCGCGGAACCCGAAAACCUGUCUCAGUUCGGAUUGGAGUCUGCAACCCGACUCCAUGAAGCUGGAUUCGCUAGUAAUCGCACAUCAGCCACGGCGCGGUGAAUACGUUCCCGGG